GAUGAACGCUGGCGGCGUGCUUAACACAUGCAAGUCGAACGGAAAGGCCCAAGCUUGCUUGGGUACUCGAGUGGCGAACGGGUGAGUAACACGUGGGUGAUCUGCCCUGCACUUCGGGAUAAGCCUGGGAAACUGGGUCUAAUACCGGAUAGGACGAUGGUUUGGAUGCCAUUGUGGAAAGUUUUUUCGGUGUGGGAUGAGCUCGCGGCCUAUCAGCUUGUUGGUGGGGUAAUUGCCUACCAAGGCGUCGACGGGUAGCCGGCCUGAGAGGGUGUACGGCCACAUUGGGACUGAGAUACGGCCCAGACUCCUACGGGAGGCAGCAGUGGGGAAUAUUGCACAAUGGGCGCAAGCCUGAUGCAGCGACGCCGCGUGGGGGAUGACGGCCUUCGGGUUGUAAACUCCUUUCGCUAGGGACGAAGCGUUUUUGUGACGGUACCUGGAGAAGAAGCACCGGCUAACUACGU
This 467-nucleotide ribosomal RNA is filed under the name uncultured bacterium. Its description in RNAcentral is "partial 16S ribosomal RNA". It matches the Rfam family "Bacterial small subunit ribosomal RNA", at positions 28 to 506 of the family's 1533-position model. The record is from RNAcentral.